UAUAUGUGUGCAUGUAUGUGUACAUGUGCAUGUGCAGUUACAUGUGCAUAUUUACAUGAAGUAUAAAUAU
RNAcentral lists this microRNA precursor (70 nucleotides) under Octodon degus (degu). RNAcentral describes it as "miRNA (ENSODEG00000021802.1)". Lineage: Eukaryota; Metazoa; Chordata; Mammalia; Rodentia; Octodontidae. The record is from RNAcentral.